RNAcentral lists this ribosomal RNA (468 nucleotides) under uncultured bacterium. RNAcentral describes it as "partial 16S ribosomal RNA". It matches the Rfam family "Bacterial small subunit ribosomal RNA", at positions 28 to 507 of the family's 1533-position model. The record is from RNAcentral.
GACGAACGCUGGCGGCGUGCUUAACACAUGCGAGUCGAACGGAAAGGCCCUGCUUUUGUGGGGUGCUCGAGUGGCGAACGGGUGAGUAACACGUGAGUAACCUGCCCUUGACUUUGGGAUAACUUCAGGAAACUGGGGCUAAUACCGGAUAGGAGCUCCUGCUGCAUGGUGAGGGUUGGAAAGUUUCGGCGGUUGGGGAUGGACUCGCGGCUUAUCAGCUUGUUGGUGGGGUAGUGGCUUACCAAGGCUUUGACGGGUAGCCGGCCUGAGAGGGUGACCGGCCACAUUGGGACUGAGAUACGGCCCAGACUCCUACGGGAGGCAGCAGUGGGGAAUAUUGCACAAUGGGCGGAAGCCUGAUGCAGCAACGCCGCGUGCGGGAUGACGGCCUUCGGGUUGUAAACCGCUUUCGCCUGUGACGAAGCGUGAGUGACGGUAAUGGGUAAAGAAGCACCGGCUAACUACGUG